Xenopus laevis (African clawed frog) is the source of this 976-nucleotide long non-coding RNA. RefSeq lists it as uncharacterized. The transcript has 3 exons. The record is from RefSeq and is a predicted model, not a curated record. NCBI's taxonomy places the organism in Eukaryota, Metazoa, Chordata, Amphibia, Anura, Pipidae.
CUACCUGCAGCUUGUGGGGCUCUCCUACAGUACUAGGGGGCAGUUGCACAAUAACUUCCCAAAUCCGCCUGAUUCCUAUAAUGAAAUGAUCCAAUUAGUUCCUAAUCCCUCCCAGUGAUGUGCAGUACUCACCUGUAUCCAGAGCUCCUGACCACUUCCUGCUUGUAGACUGACCACUUCCUGCUUGUAGAUUGGCCACUUCCUGCUUGUAGAUUGGCCACUUCCUGCUUGUAGGCUGACCUGUCCCACUACUCAGACAAGUUGUUUCUGUUGAUACAAAGUAUCACUGAUUCAUAGGGCAUUUAUAUUGCCAAAUGGGCAACUUAUAAUAUAAUAAACAGUAUUGUCAGCCUGUGGGUUGUUCUGCCCCAGCAGGUGAAUAAGAGCCCGAGGGGCAGUACCAGUAGCUCAUGGCUUUGCCCAAGAAACUGCCACAGAGCAUCACUGGGCUUGUCACCCUCUGGGGGAAGAAUCGUGACAUGGAAGAGAUUUUACGUCAGGUGGUGCAGGACCCUGAUUGCAGCAGUGGGAUACAGCAGUAUGAUGCAGCGGUGGGAUGUAGCAGUAUGAUGCAGCGGGGGAUGCAGCCGUGGGAUACAGCAGUAUGAUGCAGCGGUGGGAUGUAGCAGUAUGAUGCAGCGGGGGAUGCAGCCGUGGGAUACAGCAGUAUGAUGCAGCGGGGGAUGCAGUGGUGGGAUGUAGCAGUAUGAUACAGCAGUAUGAUGCAGCGGGGGAUGCAGCAGGCUCUCUAUGGCAUUGUGCGAUCCUCCAGCCUGUCUCAGAGCACCAAAGGGAUCCUCACUGCUGGAGUCAAGAAGACGGUGCAGUACAGCUCCAAGGAAUUCUAUGAAAUGCUGCGGAGGCUCCGGAAGGGCAAAUCCUGAUGUUUAUUGUUUGGCUGUUCUUUGACUCUUAUUUACAGUGUACCCCUUUGUUACCCCUAAAUAUGGUGCCCCCUAAUAAAUCUCUGUACUGA